CGAGGGGGCGUGUCCUUCCGCGGCCAGCUGGGUCCCCGAGGGUCCAGAUCCACGCGCGGGCUGGAGAGCGCGCACGGCUGUGAAGAGGGAUGGAGAUGGAGCCUCAUGACAAAAAUGAAAGUGAACAUGAUGUGGGAAAUAUAAAGAAGAGAUCCCCAAGAUAAGGAUUCUGGAGCAGAAAGAGCACUUCCAAUGAACAACUUAUUCAUCCAAAAGCCAAGACUACUUACUGGAAA
Molecule: long non-coding RNA, 236 nt
Organism: Lynx canadensis (Canada lynx)
Lineage: Eukaryota; Metazoa; Chordata; Mammalia; Carnivora; Felidae
Exons: 3
Source: RefSeq, a predicted model, not a curated record